This 1582-nucleotide long non-coding RNA is filed under the name Homo sapiens (human). RNAcentral describes it as "HSALNT0061313". The record is from RNAcentral. Lineage: Eukaryota; Metazoa; Chordata; Mammalia; Primates; Hominidae.
CCCUGCCCUUCCACUUCCCUUAAGACCUGUGUGAUUUAAUGCAGUCAAUUUUCUCAUGAUAGCACUUGAUCUGCCCCAGGUAUGUGUACUGCUAAGAAUGCUUGGCAUGAACAUGCCAGGGGUUUCCAUCAGUGAAUGGGAAGGUUUAUGCAAAUAACACUGCACAGCACUGAGACAUUGAUGCUGAACCUUGACUUUUCCCUGUCUUUUGCUUUACAAUGCAAGUUGCAGAUGUCGGGAAAGGAGCUGAGCAGGAAGAGAAAGGGAGCCAGCACUGUGCUGGGGUCUUUACGCCUCACCGAAUCCACAACCAGUCCUGCAGCAGUAGAGAGCACAGAGAUGGCUGCACCACCUAGGUGUAAAGGAAUGCAUGGGAAGCUGGCUGAAACAACCUAGGAGCAAACUGCCUUCCACCCACAGCUGGACAGAGGUGCAUCCUGUGUUUUAGCCCCAGGGCUGCAUUAUGGAAGCCAGAUGGGUCAUUUUGAAAAGACCAAAACUGCCUUCUCUCUCAGGACAAGGCAACCCCAGCAGUGCUGAGUUCCUGCACCAUCCCUGCACUCCUCUUCAUUAACCUCCUGCCCCCAUCAACAGCAUAAGUGGAUUAUUUCAAAGCAAACCCUAAGCCUACUGAACUCUCAAAGGCAAUGGAGGACUCUGAAGGCCAAGCUCAGCUAAAUGUUUUUGCUUCUUGCCUCUUUCCUUUUUAAUUACAGUGUAAUUUGCAUUUAUGUGAUUUCCUUCUGCCAUUGGGUUGUGGACAGCAUUGAUGAUGAUCGACAUUCCAUAACUUCCCAUCAUAGCUGGAGAGCAGAAGGAUGGCCGCCGUCUCAGAUAAAAUUCUAUCCAAUUAAACAGUUCAAUGAACACGUCAUGGUUUGAGGUUCUCAUUAUCCUCUGUGUGCAUGUCUCAUGGAUAUUUCUUUACACCCAUCAUCGUAAUAAGGUCUUAGUGCAGAAGAUGCUCCAUGAAUUAUGCUCCCCCACUGAGCGUUAUAAUGACAUUGACUUGAAAAUGGGUCUCCUUAGACUUGCAUGAGAAGCUGAGCUUUUUCAUUUAAUUGAAUUGUUCUGGACUUUAUUUUUCCAGGUCUUUUGUCUAAAUGGUAUCAGAUGCUCCACAUGAUGAAACAUGUCACAGACAUUGACAAAAUAAUGUUGGCUCACUAACAGGGUACAUCUACUGAGGGCAAAUGUGUAAAAAGUUUUCUCCAAUCAAUACCCCAGCACAUGCUCCCUGCUCUGGAUGGUGUGGCUCACCUGGCAACUGUGGUUCACCUGGCCAGCUCCCCUGGUUGAAAAUACAAGGUCAACAAUUAAAAGUACAUGUAGUCUGUGUAAGUGUUCACCCAUCUGAGGUGAUUUUAGAGACCAUGGCUACCCCAAACCCAUGCCCUACUCUGCUGCCAGGUACCUAUCCAAAACAUUGAUCUGAAUGUGUCACUUGCUAAUUCAAACAUCUCCAUUUAAACCUCUGAGGAAUGCAGGGUGGUUACUUGAAAAUAUCAAAGGUUUUGAGCAAGAUGGGUCUGGGUUGGAACUCUGGCUGUACCACUUACAGGGUGUAAGAAAAGUUACUUCA